Molecule: ribosomal RNA, 253 nt
Filed under: uncultured bacterium
Lineage: Bacteria
Description: partial 16S ribosomal RNA
Rfam family: Bacterial small subunit ribosomal RNA
Source: RNAcentral
UACGUAGGGGGCUAGCGUUGUCCGGAAUUAUUGGGCGUAAAGAGCGUGUAGGCGGCCCGGUAAGUCCGCUGUGAAAGUCGGGGGCUCAACCCUCGAAUGCCGGUGGAUACUGUCGGGCUAGAGUGCGGAAGAGGCGAGUGGAAUUCCUGGUGUAGCGGUGAAAUGCGUAGAUAUCUGGAGGAACACCGGUGGCGAAGGCGGCAUCCUGGACCAACACUGACGCUGAGGAGCGAAAGCCUGGGGAGCAAACGGG